Molecule: ribosomal RNA, 460 nt
Filed under: uncultured bacterium
Lineage: Bacteria
Description: partial 16S ribosomal RNA
Rfam family: Bacterial small subunit ribosomal RNA
Source: RNAcentral
ACUACGGGAGGCAGCAGUGAGGAAUAUUGGUCAAUGGGCGUAAGCCUGAACCAGCCAAGUCGCGUGAGGGAUGAAGGUUCUAUGGAUCGUAAACCUCUUUUAUAAGGGAAUAAAGAGCGGGACGUGUCCCGUUUUGUAUGUACCUUAUGAAUAAGGAUCGGCUAACUCGGUGCCAGCAGCCGCGGUAAUACGGAGGAUCCGAGCGUUAUCCGGAUUUAUUGGGUUUAAUAGGUGCGUAGGCGGCCUUUUAAGUGAGUGGUGAAAGUCUUGGGCUCAACCAUAGAAUAUCAGUUGAACCUGGGAGGCUUGGGUAUGUUUGAGGCAGGCGGAAGGCGUGGUGUAGCGUUGAAAUGCUUAGAUACCACGCAGAACCCCGAUUGCGAAGGCAGCCUGCCAAGCCAUGACUGACGCUGAUGCACGAAAGCGUGGGGAUCAAACAGGAUUAGAUACCCGUGUAGUC